This is a non-coding RNA of Lactuca sativa (garden lettuce), 1153 nucleotides long. Lineage: Eukaryota; Viridiplantae; Streptophyta; Magnoliopsida; Asterales; Asteraceae. The record is from RefSeq and is a predicted model, not a curated record.
AUCUCCGAUGUUACCCUAAUCUCCUCUACAAACAACAGCCGUCAUCAAACCACUAAUCACUGCCACCACAUGGCCACAACCUCCUAAAGACGUCGCCUCCAUUUCUUCUCUGGGUUUAGGACUUUCAAGAUUUCUGUACAAUCUCCCUAAAUUCUGUUAAUCUAUUCUUCUAUUGUAACUCUUUUGCAGGUGUUCUGGAAAUUACCGGGUAUAACGAGCGUUGACACGUCGCCGAUGGAGAUGCGGGAAGACGAAGCCGACAACGAUCGAAGUCUACAACCUACCUGCGUGGAAAUUGAACCAGUACCCGAACACAUCGUUGGUUCAAAUCGAAGGAGUGAACACGAAAGAGGAGGUAUCAUGGUAUCAAGGGAAACGUAUGACGUACGUCUACAAAGCCAAGGUCAAGAAGAACGGAUCACACUAGCGGUGCAUUUGGGGGAAAGUUACCAGCCCUCAUGUGAACACCCGUAUUGUUCUUGCUACGAUCACUUCCAAUCUCCUUCCUAAAUCCAUGGGGUCAAGGGUCAGAGUGUUCAUGUACCCAAGCAACAUUUAAGGAAUUCAAUCCAGACCCGGUGAUAUCAAUUUAUACAGCCAAGCUUGAGCAUCUUGAGAAAGCACUAAGGCAUGUUUAUCAUGUCUCGGUGAACAUGCUAAAAGGAAAUGAAUUGGAGCUUCUAUUAGUCAUCUUACCUGAUAAUAAUGGAUCCUGAUACGAGGUUUAAGAGGUUUAAAUGGAUCCCAAUGAUUGCAGUUUCAUUACUCCAGGUGUUUAUCUACCAGAAUCGAUAUUCUCACAUGGCCAACUUUAUGUGGCGUUGUCCAGAGGAAUAUCACGUGUCAAUAUCAAUGUAUUAGUAAAGCCGGAAAAAAAACGUUUGAUAAUGAUGGAAUCUACACAUCAAACGUUGUGUACAAAGAAGUUUUAUGUGAUUAACAAGGGCUAAUAGAUGAAACAACAUGAUUGCAGAUUGAUGUAUUUUAUAUAUUGGACAUGUUAUAAAUAUACAAAACUACAUGAUUGCAGAUUGCUGUUACUUAUAUAUUGUAAAAUCAAGUAUGAACUAUUAGAUGAAAUUCCAAAUGUAGACUCAACUAUUGUCGUAUUGUAUGACUAUGCCGCCAGCAAGAAACUAUCCGUUGAAAUGAA